Molecule: long non-coding RNA, 587 nt
Filed under: Phoenix dactylifera (date palm)
Lineage: Eukaryota; Viridiplantae; Streptophyta; Magnoliopsida; Arecales; Arecaceae
Description: long non-coding RNA (PDAC_LNC003123)
Source: RNAcentral
AACCGGCUAACAGGUCCGAAUCAGAUUUCGGGCCCAACCCAAACCAGCCCACAGUUCCAAUUUGGCCCGACUCAGCCCAACACAGAUUCCCCAACCCAACCCAAACCAGAUUUGAUCAGACCAGAUUAGAUCAAAUCCUGAUGAAUCAGUUUAUACUCACACCAGGCUAACCCAAAUUCCUGACUCAGAUUCAGACCCUAAUCAAAACCUAUUCACUCAAACUCGGAUCAAACCCUAUUCACUGCAUAGAUGAAACCGGUUCACAGUUUGAACCCGGUCCAAGUCUGGUUCACAAUUUAGGCACGGAAUUCGAUGCAAGGGGAAACACCCAGGCGGAAGAAGAAGAAGAAGAAGAUGAAGAAGGAGAAGAAGAAGAAGAAGAAGAAGAAGAAGGAAGUGGCUGGUGGUUCCGGUCGGCCCUCGGCGGCCGACUGUGGCCCUCGACGGCGGCGCUCGGCCAGCCGCCGUCGGCCACGCCACUGUCACAAGCGGCGCCGGACGAGAAGAAGAAGAGAAGGAGGAGAGGAAAAGAAAAGGAGGAAAGAGAGGGAGACCGGGGCUGGAAGCCCGGCCCCCGUUCACCCACC